This is a long non-coding RNA of Lycium barbarum (goji berry), 4467 nucleotides long. RefSeq lists it as uncharacterized. Lineage: Eukaryota; Viridiplantae; Streptophyta; Magnoliopsida; Solanales; Solanaceae. The record is from RefSeq and is a predicted model, not a curated record. The transcript is spliced from 4 exons.
AAAAUAGAUGUUCUGUUUGUACAAUAAUGGUCCACCACCUAAUAAUUCUGUUUGGACAAUGAUGGGAAAAAUGAGAAAGAAAAAUUAGAGCAAUGAAAGUGAAAUGUGUACCAUUUGAUACAUUCAGAAAAAAGAAAUAUACGAUAAAGAUAGUAUUGAUGAUAAGAGUUGAUGUAAUGGCAAAGCUAUCAGGAAUCAUCGAUCAGUUGGCAUUGCUCUAGUCUGUUGAUAAUAUUUAAUAGGAGAGGCAAACACAUUCUGUGAUGACAGGUGUCAUCACCAGAAAAUUCGUAUUUAAUAAAUAAAAUAAAAUAAAAUAUAAAAGUCAACAAAAAAUUAAAGCUGGUGAUUUGAUUUGCUGUUUUGGAAAGAUGGUAUUGUGCUUUUGGGUUUUGUCUUUAUCUGGGUGUUUUUUUUUCCCUUUUUUCGAAUUUCGUGCUUCAGUUACAGGGAUUUCAAUUUGGUUUUCGUGUAAUAUACUUAUUCGUGAGUUAAUCCAAAGCUGUAGUUGAGAUCAAUUAAGCAAUCUCAAGCAUUAUCAUUGAAAGCUAGGAGAUUUGAUUAGCAGAUUUGGGAUGCACUGUGACUUUUUGGCUUUUAUCACAAUCAGGACGUUCAUGUAAAUUCUAAUUUCUUGCUUCAACUGCAGAUUAUUUAUGUAAAUUAAGGACUACCAAUGAAGUAAGUGUAAGGCUGUCUUUGAAGUUCAAACGUUUUCUGUCGUGAUUUCUACUUUGAAUUUCUGCAAAAGCUUCUGCCAUGGUCCAUAUUUAACUCUGUCUCUUUAUCCUAACAGUAAGUCUUUUUUAUUAUAAGUUCUAAUUCCGAUUCAAAUCCUAACCGGUUGCCGUUUUCAGGUUUGAAACUGAUACAACUUCUCACACAUUCCCCCUCUUUGCUUUUUUUUUUUUUUUUUUGAACGUUGAUUCUUCUGAACUUUUCACUUUUCAUAGGUUUUUUCAAAACUUUGAAAUCACAUUCUGCAUCUAACCAAAUUAAUAUGCUAACCGGCUUUAUCAUAAUCAUAUAUUGAUACAAGAUUCUAUCCAAAGUUCCCAUUUCUUUUAUAUAGUUCUUCAGAAAGGGUGAGAAGUCACAAGAAUGUAACUGCUGCAGAUUAACAGUUUCCUCCCUAUUUGUGAUGGUGGUAGGUUUAGGGCAGACAAAUUUGAGGCAGAUACAACAACAAAUGGUGAUUUAUCGCAAUUGCAUAACGACACAAACGGAGGAGGAGUCACCACAAAAUACUCUCAAAUCCUUGAAGGUUCUGCUUUUGAUCCAUUUCAAUCUGUUCUUGAAAUAUUACAAAAUGGAGUGCAGACCUGCAGGAUGCAGUUUAGAGUGAAAAGUAUGGAUUGACAGAUAAAUUAUGAGGAUACAUUUUCAAACUAGAGGUAAGAGUCUCUGACCGCGUGCAUAAGCGCUCAGGCGUGUGGCAAAACUUAAGAUGCAUUUUUUUAGGCUCAAAGUUUGGCACAAGAAUUUUGGUAAGGAACUUUUAAUACCUCCCUCUGUUUCUUUGGGCAGUUUAUGCAUAUUAGAAUUGAUACAUUGAUUAAAAUCAGUCUUCUUUUUGUACAAAGGAAAAAUUGCCACACACUCUUUUAGAGGCAUUUUUUUCUUAUUGAGUUUUUCAUCUAACUUUGCAUUUAUAUAUAAUAAGAUUAAUUGAGAUGUGUGUUGUAGACACUAUCGUUGGUUCAUCUACGCUUGAGGUAUUAGAUUCUUUGGCUUUUUAUCUUAGUAAUUUUCUGGGAAACAUUUUUGAAUAAGACACCUACUCAGUGUCAACAGAGAUAGUCUUGAUAGAUUGCUGAGAGAUGCAUCUUUGCAUAUACAGUAUAAGACACGGUUGUCGGGAAUCAUUUGAUUCUUUACUUACAUAAGGCAGAAUAGAAUCUACAUUAAAAAGCAUUCUAGCAGGUUGUCCAGGCUUAGAUUGCCCAGAUAGUGGGGAUAACACAACAAAACAUAUAUUUGGUGAAGUAGUACUAGUACAGGGAAGCAAUGGGUGAUGAUCUCCAAAGGCUAUAUCUUGAUGGCAACAGAUUGCAGGGCAGAUUCAUAUGGAGUUAUAACAACAAAUAUAGACAGUGAUGCUUUAGAAGUGAGUUAAUAAUACUCUUUUGAAAAGUAGAUGGCGCUUUUUCAUUUUUGCAGGAUCUGUUAUUUGUGGGUCUGGGAUCGACGUGGUUGCUUCCUGAAAUUCUAAUUCAAUGUAUCUAUACAAAUCCACGUGUCUUUACUGCAUCAAUUGAAUAUCCACCUCAUUAAUUUUGUAACUAACAGUCAUCAUCAUAAUCCACCCCAUCUUCUUCGCCUUCUGUGUCAGUUAGUUCAUCACCGCUUCAAUUUCUGAUUUGUGUUUUUAUAAAUACUUUUGAUGCAUUCACUGUUUGUUGCCUUAUUCUGUCUUCUGAGAACGAAUAUUGAAUUUUGCACAUUCAACUCUUGCUGAAUGGUUAAAAGUAUCAAGAUAAGCAUAGGCAAGCUUUCUAAUAUAUACUUGGAUGUAACCGUGCUUGGGUAGCAGACCAUGGAGAUAAAAUGGGCUUGGACGGCGGAGCUUGCUCAGCUGCGUGUGUCUCCAUGUAGUUAUACGGUAGUUUAAGUGCAACGAGAAUUUUUGGAACUUGGCAGGGUUUCUAGAAAAUGAUAGGUAAAGUAUUAAUACUUGAAGUUUUAAUGUCCAAUAGAAGGAGAUUGAAGAUAAGUACAAUGACAAAGGUUCUGUGGCACAUUCGGUUUCAGUAAAGUGUAUCUGUUUGACUCCAACCAGAUUCCAAUGUGAUUGCGUUCUUAAUAAAAUGGAAAAAGCUAGCGUUAUUUCCACUUCCAAUAGAAGUCAUUUACCUGCAAAAUCUAAGUCGGUUCAUAUUGUGUUGAAGUAAUCAAUUUUAGGUUGCUAAAUUGUUUAUGGUUGGCUGCAUAUUCUGUUUUGCUCGCAUCAUAUUCAAGUGACCAGAUUCAAUUCUUAAUCUUAAUUUUUUUAUGCUGUUGUGGCGUAGUAGGUUUAAAAUUUUAAAUGACACCAAAAUGGUUAUCAGUAAUGUAUUACAGAACUUUAUCCUCUGAAGAAGUGAGAAUUUACUCGCUAUAUUUGAGAAUCGUUGAGAUCUUUAUUCCUUAAUUUCUUAAUUUCAUAUAAAGGAUUUGAUCAAUAAAAUAUGGUUGGGAGUUUUUUAAUUAGCCGAGUUGGACAGUAAUGAAGGGCAUUGAGUUAUGUUAAGAUGUUUGACUUGCAAGACUUUUUCUGUGCAUGAAGACACUAAAAUGAAAUGAGAGAAGUAGAUCCAUUUGAUAACUCAUGGAGCCACAUAUCUUGCUCUGCUGGCAUUCUUUCUCCAAGGUUUUAGUUUCCAAGAGGUUAAAAAAACUUAGAACAGUAGUACUUCCUAGAAUGUCUCCAAAAGGAGUGAAGUUUCGAAUGUGUUCUUAAAGAGCACAAAUAAUAAAAAGGAAAAAAAAAAAGAUACCUACCUACUGUGAUGUAUCGAUGAUUCCCAGUAACAUCUCCAAUUGUUUUCAUGUAUGUUUGUUUUUUCACUUCGGGUUUUAUCCAUCCUCUACAAUGUUUUAGCCUAUGAUAUUCUAAUUUAACCCUCUUGAAAGCUGCCUCACUCCCAGUUGCUCUAUCCCCCUUAGCUCUUUUCUUUCUUUCUUUUACCUCUAAUUUAGAUUUUUUUUCCUUUCAAUUUCAGGAUUAACUGAGCAGCCAGUUAAAAACUUGGCAAAGAAACCGUAAGAGGCGGAAGAUUAUGAAGCAUAUAUACUAGAGUAUUACCGAAGACUUAAAGAGUUCUUGAUCGGAGAUUCUUCACUGCGGCAUUUGUAACUAUUAGAAUGAGCACCUAUGCAAUGUUGGGGAGUACCAAGCAAUCAACCCCCUGCCCUUCAUUACCUACUAUCAGAAGGUUGGCAACAUUGUCAAGGAUGAGACGGUCUUCUUAACAGCUGUUCUAUUACUAGGAUAUUCUUUUCCGUUAUAGCAUACAUUUUCAAGUACUGUUUAUGUGCAUAUGAAAUGGAUUCUGCAUCAUUUAGCCCCAGAACACUUUAUCUCCUUCAAGGAGCUGGAGUAGAGAUAUCAACAUGGGCAGCGAGUAAGGCUAGCAACGAAUCCCAACUCUUGCGAGUUUGUCUUGAGUGUUGGCGUGGAGAUUGGAUGCAUCAAGUAUUUUCUAUUAUGCAGGUUAAAGCGGACAUAACAUAAUGUAAGGCUUUGGGUGCUUUGUUUCUUUUAUAAGUACACAUUUCCUUGAAGGGAAAUUUCCACUUUGUUAAAGCUAAACACCAGAAUUAUAUUGCUCAUUCACCUUUUAUGACUAAAUACUUAGACAAUCCAAUGACUUGGUUGUUCACUUUUAACUUUUUACAUAAUGGAGGGGUACACAGAUAUUCCUUUGUUAUUUAGACAUGUUGUUGUAUCAUUUUAUUAUAUAUGAAAUUAUAUGGUUCGUGCUGUUU